Long non-coding RNA from Benincasa hispida (wax gourd), 914 nucleotides. RefSeq lists it as uncharacterized. Lineage: Eukaryota; Viridiplantae; Streptophyta; Magnoliopsida; Cucurbitales; Cucurbitaceae. The record is from RefSeq and is a predicted model, not a curated record.
CCUCUUUUUUCAAAGCUGAGAUCUAUCAUAUCAUCUCAGUUUCACAUCUUUAAUCACUGUUGUAAUGGCCGGUCCUGCCUCCGUUUCCAAACAUUCUUCAAGCUUAUGGCUCUCUUCAAACCCUAGCAAGAGAUGGGGUGAACUCUUCUUUCUUUCCUAUACUCCAUUUUGGCUCACUCUUUCCUUGGGAAUUGUGGUUCCUUUCAAACUCUACGAGAGGUUUACGGAAUUGGAAUAUUUGCUUCUUGGAUUAUUAGCAGCACUUCCUUUUUGAUACCGGUGGUGUGUCCUGGAGAGGUAUCAAUUUACUAGCACUUCAUUUAAAUCUGUAUGAUUCUACUACAAAAGUUCAUUCACAUGUUUGUUUCUGGGAACUUGUGGAUAAUAUCGAUCCACAUAAAUCUUAUCCAAGAUUGAUGGUUCUCUUAAACCGAUAUGAAACUGAAUAUUAGUCACAAUAAAUAAAUCGAGAUCUAAUCAAUUGAAGACAAAGAGGAAGGAAGACUUAUCAAUUCAUCACCUGUAACUUCUUCUUCUGUGAAUAUAGUUCAGAAGAGGAACCCACCUCCUCAAAAUCCCAACCCAAAUCAGAACAACAAUCAGGCACAACACACCAAUAGUUAGAGAGGUGGAUGAUUUCAAGUCAUACCUCUAAAACAAUAAGAAAGCUGAAGAACGAUCGACGGCGAGCGACGGCGUGAAGGAGAUCGACGGCGAGUGAAGAAAGCUGAAGAACAAUCGACGGACGGCGAGGGAAGAAAGCUGAUACCGAUCGAUGAAUGGCAAGGGAAAGGUUUAGGGAUUGGGCGAGGUAAGGUUAGUGACAGCGCAACAGAGGGUUUGGGCGUAAAGAAGAGAAAGAGCACGCGAGCGAUUUAGGGAUAUAUUAUUUAAUAAAUAAAGGAAAAAAAAAA